GACGAACGCUGGCGGCGUGCCUAACACAUGCAAGUCGAGCGAGUGAAUUUCCUUCGGGAUUGAAGCUAGCGGCGGACGGGUGAGUAACACGUGGGCAACCUGCCUCAUAGAGGGGAAUAGCCUUUCGAAAGGAAGAUUAAUACCGCAUAAGAUUGUAGCUUCGCAUGAAGUAGCAAUUAAAGGAGCAAUCCGCUAUGAGAUGGGCCCGCGGCGCAUUAGCUAGUUGGUGAGGUAACGGCUCACCAAGGCGACGAUGCGUAGCCGACCUGAGAGGGUGAUCGGCCACAUUGGGACUGAGACACGGCCCAGACUCCUACGGGAGGCAGCAGUGGGGAAUAUUGCACAAUGGGGGAAACCCUGAUGCAGCAACGCCGCGUGAGUGAUGACGGCCUUCGGGUUGUAAAGCUCUGUCUUCAGGGACGAUAAUGACGGUACCUGAGGAGGAAGCCACGGCUAACUACGUGCCAGCCGCCGCGGUAA
Molecule: ribosomal RNA, 480 nt
Filed under: uncultured bacterium
Lineage: Bacteria
Description: partial 16S ribosomal RNA
Rfam family: Bacterial small subunit ribosomal RNA
Source: RNAcentral